This 541-nucleotide ribosomal RNA is filed under the name uncultured archaeon. RNAcentral describes it as "bacterial SSU rRNA". It matches the Rfam family "Archaeal small subunit ribosomal RNA", at positions 111 to 650 of the family's 1478-position model. The record is from RNAcentral.
ACCCUCGGGAGGGGGAUAACCCCGGGAAACUGGGGCUAAUCCCCCAUAGGCCUGGGGUACUGGAAGGUCCCCAGGCCGAAAGGGGCUCUGCCCGCCCGAGGAUGGGCCGGCGGCCGAUUAGGUAGUUGGUGGGGUAACGGCCCACCAAGCCGAAGAUCGGUACGGGCCAUGAGAGUGGGAGCCUGGAGAUGGACACUGAGACACGGGUCCAGGCCCUACGGGGCGCAGCAGGCGCGAAACCUCCGCAAUGCGGGCAACCGCGACGGGNGGACCCCCAGUGCCGUGGCAACGCCACGGCUUUUCCGGAGUGUAAAAAGCUCCGGGAAUAAGGGCUGGGCAAGGCCGGUGGCAGCCGCCGCGGUAAUACCGGCGGCCCAAGUGGUGGCCGCUAUUAUUGGGCCUAAAGCGUCCGUAGCCGGGCCCGUAAGUCCCUGGCGAAAUCCCACGGCUCAACCGUGGGGCUUGCUGGGGAUACUGCGGGCCUUGGGACCGGGAGAGGCGGGGGGUACCCCUGGGGUAGGGGUGAAAUCCUAUAAUCCCA